CCUACGGGCGGCUGCAGUGGGGAAUCUUCCGCAAUGGGCGAAAGCCUGACGGAGCAACGCCGCGUGAUCGAAUGAAGGCCUUCGGGUUGUAAAGAUCUGUUGACAGGGACGAAUAAGCAAUGCGAAUAGCUUUGUGUAUGUCGGUACCUGUUUAGCAAGCUCUGGCUAACUACGUGCCAGCAGCCGCGGUAAUACGGAGGGAGCAAGCGUUGUCCGGAAUUAUUGGGCGUAAAGGGCGCGUAGGUGGGUGCUUAAGUCAGGUGUGAAAACUUCGGGCUCAACCUGGAGACUGCACUUGAAACUGGGUGUCGUGAGGGCAGGAGAGGAAAGUGGAAUUCCUAGUGUAGCGGUGAAAUGCGUAGAUAUUAGGAGGAACACCAGUGGCGAAGGCGACUUUCUGGACUGUACCUGACGCUGAGGCGCGAAAGCGUGGGUAGCGAACGGGAUUAGAUACCCGAGUAGUC
Molecule: ribosomal RNA, 464 nt
Filed under: uncultured bacterium
Lineage: Bacteria
Description: partial 16S ribosomal RNA
Rfam family: Bacterial small subunit ribosomal RNA
Source: RNAcentral